This 496-nucleotide long non-coding RNA is filed under the name Pongo abelii (Sumatran orangutan). RNAcentral's name for it is "lincRNA". The record is from RNAcentral. Lineage: Eukaryota; Metazoa; Chordata; Mammalia; Primates; Hominidae.
GUCAGCCCAGGCUCCAAAUAUGUAACAAACAGGUGGAGAAGUAUGAAGAACGAGGAACACUGCCAGGGGAGUUUCUUCCUCUGCAAAAUAAGGGAGUGUGUACUGAAUUACCUUUUCCAGCUCCAACAUCCAGGAUUUCAGCACUACCUGCACAGUAGUGGGGGGAGAGAUAGAGGAAGCAGGGAAGAUAGGAAAGCACUCUAAGCCGGUGGCUGGGCUUCCGUGGUGGCUGGGACAGCAGCAGUAGUGCUGUCCAUCUGCUCGUCCGAGGGGUGGCACAUCCUAGCCUCUAUCUUUUCCCUAGAGAAGAUCCCUUCGUCUGCUCUUCCCCCCCCCCCCCCCCCCCCCCCCCCCCCCCCCCCCGUCUCAGCCUCAGCCUUUUAGUGUGUGAACAGUUCUGGUGUGACUCAUCAGUGCUUUUGUUAGCGCCUUUACCAGCAAGUACUUGUUAAACACUUAAAUCUUACAAAUGGAAAGAAAAUUCCAUGAUAAAUUU